UGCACCUCAAGGCCACGCCCCCUGCCCCCGGCUUGGCUCGUGGGUCAAUUCUGCGCCCAGCUGCGGGCGCAUUGGGGGUGGGACAGACAGCGCCACGGGUCCGCCUAAGACAAGACAGACUCCCUGCCCCGGCCUCUCGGUAGCCCUAGGCUGGGAGAAGGCCUGGAGCAAAACCUGGAGAGAGUUUUCAGUAACAGAGUUUCUUUUGUUAAGGAAAUCCUCUAGCAUUCCCACACUACAUAAACAUUUGAACUAUUAAGGCGGCUCUGGAAAGGACCACGAAUGGACCGACUUAGGCAUCCUUAUAAAUGCAGAUUUUUGAUCAAAUAAAUAUUAAUAACUCUUGAGUCAAUAUGAAAAUGUGUCAGUCCUUAUUAUGAAACUCUGAAAUAAUCAAUAGUGAUUUGAUGGAUGCCAAUUUUAAUAUGUUUAAAGAGUUACCACAUAUUCUCAGUAACCAGUUCUCAAACAUUAGUAGUUCAGUCAACUUAGUAUCUCUUUAAAAAAAGAAGACACGAGACAGGUGUAGUCCACAUCACAGACUAACGGACUAAAACUGUCAAGUGCUGUGCAACCACCCUGAAUUGUUGAGCACCCUCCACCCCCAGACUGGCUAUGCUGAGGAUUCUUCCGCAUUCCUUCAGUGCUAUUCUAGCACCAGUGCUAUUCUAGCACCAGUGCUAAAAAGGUUGGAAUGGUAGUGUAGACUGGCUGCUAACAUUUUUGACAUCAUGUCACGCUAACAUAGAUAAUAUGUUGGGGAAAUUGCCAGCGGCUAGUUUUCACUAACAUUCCUACUACAGCACC
Molecule: long non-coding RNA, 807 nt
Organism: Malaclemys terrapin pileata
Lineage: Eukaryota; Metazoa; Chordata; Testudines; Emydidae
Exons: 3
Source: RefSeq, a predicted model, not a curated record